Ictalurus punctatus (channel catfish) is the source of this 1137-nucleotide long non-coding RNA. NCBI's taxonomy places the organism in Eukaryota, Metazoa, Chordata, Actinopteri, Siluriformes, Ictaluridae. The record is from Ensembl.
GGCGUAGAUUCAUUUUGCAUCGCUAUGGAUUCAUUUUAUACAGGCGUGGACUCAUUUUCUAUAGGUGUGGAUUCAUUUUGUAUAUGCGUUAAUUUGUUUUCUAAAGGCAUAGAUAGAUAUUCUAUAGGCAUUGAUUCAUUUUCUAUAGGUGUGGAUUUGUUUUCUAUAGGCAUUGUUUCAUUUUCUAUAGGCGUGAUUUGUUUUCUAUAGGCACUGAAUCAUUUUCUAUAGGCGUGGAGUCAUUUUCUAUAGGCAUUGAUUCAUUAUCUACAGGCGUGGAUUUGUUUUCUAAAGGCAUUGAUUCAUUUUCUACAGGCGUGGAUUCAUUUUGUAUAUGCAUUAGAUUGUUUUCUAAAGUCAUAUAUUAAUAUUCUAUAGGCACUGAUUCAUUUUCUAAAGGCGUGGAGUCAUUUUCUAGAGGCACUGAUUCAUUUUCUAUAGGCGUGGAGUCAUUUUAUAGAGGCACUGAUUCAUUUUCUGUAGGCGUGGAUUUCAUUUCUAUAGGCACUGAUUCAUUUUCUAUAGGCGUGGAUUCAUUUUCUAUAGGCGUGGAUUUGUUUUCUAAUGUAUUCAAUUUAAUAGGUUAUUGUUUCAUUAGUACCAGCACAUUCCCAGGAACUUGUAUGGCAGAUGAUCCACAUAAUCUAAAAAAAACUGAUUUAAAAAAAAAGUGUGGUUAAUUAAGGAAGAAAAACACAUAGUUGUUUGUUAUUGUAAAUCUUUUUGUUUUUCUGUUAGGAGAUUCAUUAUAGAAGGAGUCUCCAGUGUCAGUGAACUUCACAUCUUAUCAGACUUCCUCAUGUUACAACUUUAGGUUCUAAGUAGCAUCAAGUGACCACAGUUUAUGGCUUGAAGAGCUAAGAAAAGCAGAAAAGUCACUAAUACUUUCCAUACUUUAAAACAGAAUUUAAAAUUAGGGACUAAUUAGGGACUAAAUCGUGCUAAACGGCAUUCAACAAGUUCAACUGUGUCCCAUAUUCUAAAGUCAAGAUCAAUUAUAAUAUGUUGUUCAAUUGAUACCUAGAACUAAAGGUACAAUUACGUCUAAUAGAAUGUAAAUUUAGAUUAUUAUUUCAUGCUCAAUAGUUUGUAUAAUAAUGUUGUUGUUUUUUUAAGUGUGAAUAAAGUCUUACCAGA